CCUACGGGAGGCAGCAGUGGGGAAUUUUGGACAAUGGGGGAAACCCUGAUCCAGCCAUUCCGCGUGAGUGAAGAAGGCCUUCGGGUUGUAAAGCUCUUUCGGCAGGAACGAAACGGCGGACUCUAACAUAGUCUGUCAAUGACGGUACCUGAAGAAGAAGCACCGGCUAACUACGUGCCAGCAGCCGCGGUAAUACGUAGGGUGCGAGCGUUAAUCGGAAUUACUGGGCGUAAAGCGUGCGCAGGCGGCUUUGUAAGACGGAUGUGAAAUCCCUGGGCUUAACCUAGGAACUGCGUUCGUGACUGCAAAGCUAGAGUGCGGCAGAGGGGGGUGAAAUUCCUGGUGUAGCAGUAAAAUGCGUAGAGAUCAUGAAGACCACCGGUUGCGAAGGCGAUCAUCUGGCUC
This 405-nucleotide ribosomal RNA is filed under the name uncultured beta proteobacterium. RNAcentral describes it as "partial 16S ribosomal RNA". It matches the Rfam family "Bacterial small subunit ribosomal RNA", at positions 338 to 735 of the family's 1533-position model. Lineage: Bacteria; Pseudomonadati; Pseudomonadota; Betaproteobacteria. The record is from RNAcentral.